GGUGUAGCUCAGUGGUACAGCACUUGCCUAAAAUGCUAGAGGCUUUGGGUUUAAUCCUCAGCACC
RNAcentral lists this transfer RNA (65 nucleotides) under Fukomys damarensis (Damara mole-rat). It matches the Rfam family "tRNA". From Rfam's summary of the family: Transfer RNA (tRNA) molecules are approximately 80 nucleotides in length. Their secondary structure includes four short double-helical elements and three loops (D, anti-codon, and T loops). Lineage: Eukaryota; Metazoa; Chordata; Mammalia; Rodentia; Bathyergidae. The record is from Rfam by way of RNAcentral.